GCCUGACUGGCUCAGUCGGUAGAGCACGCGACUCUUGAUCUUGGGGUGAUGAGUUUGCACCCCAUGUUGGGCA
Molecule: transfer RNA, 73 nt
Filed under: Felis catus (domestic cat)
Lineage: Eukaryota; Metazoa; Chordata; Mammalia; Carnivora; Felidae
Rfam family: tRNA
About the family: Transfer RNA (tRNA) molecules are approximately 80 nucleotides in length. Their secondary structure includes four short double-helical elements and three loops (D, anti-codon, and T loops). Further hydrogen bonds mediate the characteristic L-shaped molecular structure. tRNAs have two regions of fundamental functional importance: the anti-codon, which is responsible for specific mRNA codon recognition, and the 3' end, to which the tRNAs corresponding amino acid is attached (by aminoacyl-tRNA synthetases). tRNAs cope with the degeneracy of the genetic code in two manners: having more than one tRNA (with a specific anti-codon) for a particular amino acid; and 'wobble' base-pairing, i.e. permitting non-standard base-pairing at the 3rd anti-codon position.
Source: Rfam by way of RNAcentral